Molecule: ribosomal RNA, 350 nt
Filed under: uncultured bacterium
Lineage: Bacteria
Description: bacterial SSU rRNA
Rfam family: Bacterial small subunit ribosomal RNA
Source: RNAcentral
GCUGUCGUCAGCUCGUGUCGUGAGAUGUUGGGUUAAGUCCCGUAACGAGCGCAACCCUUGUCCUUAGUUACCAGCACGUAAUGGUGGGCACUCUAAGGAGACUGCCGGUGACAAACCGGAGGAAGGUGGGGAUGACGUCAAGUCAUCAUGGCCCUUACGGCCUGGGCUACACACGUGCUACAAUGGUCGGUACAGAGGGUUGCCAAGCCGCGAGGUGGAGCUAACCCCACAAAACCGAUCGUAGUCCGGAUCGCAGUCUGCAACUCGACUGCGUGAAGUCGGAAUCGCUAGUAAUCGCGAAUCAGAAUGUGGCGAUGAAGACGUUCCCGCGGUAUUGGCACACACGCAGU